GUGUGAGCAGGCAUCUUCUCAGCCUACAUGUGGAUUCCUAAAUCUGCAGGCUGGUGAGAUGGUUGUCAUGCAU
Molecule: microRNA precursor, 73 nt
Filed under: Corythaeola cristata (great blue turaco)
Lineage: Eukaryota; Metazoa; Chordata; Aves; Musophagiformes; Musophagidae
Also listed under: 2 other names
Description: mir-456 microRNA precursor family
Rfam family: mir-456 microRNA precursor family
Source: Rfam by way of RNAcentral